This 395-nucleotide small RNA is filed under the name Cryptococcus neoformans H99. RNAcentral's name for it is "Cryptococcus neoformans var. grubii H99 hypothetical RNA". The record is from RNAcentral. Lineage: Eukaryota; Fungi; Basidiomycota; Tremellomycetes; Tremellales; Cryptococcaceae.
CUCCGCCUUUCGAAUGUUCCCAGGCACAGCCUCAUCUACCAUAUCUUUUGACAGAACCGGACUAACAAGCAUGUCCUCAUCUUCCGCACGCUCAUUGGCUUCUUGCAGACCUUCGACUAGUUUCGCAUAUUCAUCCUCCAGCUUCUUCGCAUCGGUCUCCUUAAUUUCCGCAAUCUUGUCACUAAGUUUAUUGACACUUCUUGCUGCCGAAUCCAACAUUGGCCUUGUCAAAUCGAUGGAUAGGGACUCGAUACAGACAUUAUCUGAACACGAUCGGAGACCUGCUCCGCGACCUUUGGAUCCAGGAGAUAAUGGAAGGAGUAUAUCACAACGUCAAGGAAGGGCAACUUCAUUUCUGAUAAUUAGCCUCAAGAGCGUUGCAUUAUGAACCCUAC